AGAACGAACGCUGGCGGCAUGCCUAACACAUGCAAGUCGAACGCUCACCGGGCUUCGGUUCGGUGGGAGUGGCGCACGGGUGAGUAGCGCGUGGGAACCUGCCCUGUUGUGGGGGAUAACCGAGGGAAACUUCGGCUAAUACCGCAUGCGCCCGGGGAAACCCGGGGAAAGAUUUAUCGCAGCAGGAGGGGCCCGCGUCGGAUUAGGUAGUUGGUAGGGUAACGGCCUACCAAGCCUUUGAUCCGUAGCUGGUCUGAGAGGAUGAUCAGCCACACUGGGACUGAGACACGGCCCAGACUCCUACGGGAGGCAGCAGUGGGGAAUAUUGGACAAUGGGCGCAAGCCUGAUCCAGCAAUGCCGCGUGAGUGAUGAAGGCCUUAGGGUUGUAAAGCUCUUUCGCCCGCGACGAUGAUGACGGUAGCGGGAGAAGAGCCCGGCUAACUCGUGCCAGCAGCCGC
RNAcentral lists this ribosomal RNA (459 nucleotides) under uncultured bacterium. RNAcentral's name for it is "SSU rRNA". It matches the Rfam family "Bacterial small subunit ribosomal RNA", at positions 26 to 518 of the family's 1533-position model. The record is from RNAcentral.